RNAcentral lists this ribosomal RNA (209 nucleotides) under Blautia faecis. RNAcentral's name for it is "partial 23S ribosomal RNA". It matches the Rfam family "Bacterial large subunit ribosomal RNA", at positions 227 to 439 of the family's 2925-position model. The record is from RNAcentral. Lineage: Bacteria; Bacillati; Bacillota; Clostridia; Lachnospirales; Lachnospiraceae.
AAACUCGAUUCUGCAAGUAGCGGCGAGCGAACGCGGAAGAGCCUAAACCGGAAUGCGUGCAUUCCGGGGUUACGGACUGCAUUUAAGAUUCUCGGAAGCUAACAGAACGGUUUUGGGAAAGCCGGCCGAAGAGGGUGAAAGCCCCGUAUGUGAAAGCAGAUGAGACUGAGCAGGAUCCAGAGUACCACGAGACACGAGAAACCUUGUGG